AAAAGCUUCAAGCCGUCAGCAUGGGAAGAAAUGAAACCUUCCUGGCAUUCAUUGAACGAUUUAGCACUGAAUUAGACCGUGCGGGCGAGGGUGGAGUCAAUCCGGUCAAGGUUUAGAAAGGUCUAGCCCAGCCCUGCCUUUGGGGCACCAGCUUCUCCUAUUUUCCCUUCCGGGGACUCUAACUCUGGGCGGGCCUGAGGGGGGCAGAUGGUAGGAGGGGCUCUUUCUGACCCCUAAAUCCCCAAGCUCUCCAGCCCCCCGUUGCCCCACCCGCGUCAGGCCUCGGGCUGGGCUCGGGCCCCCGGCGCUGCCCCGGCUCCCUCUCUGGUUCCUGGCCUCCGUCCUCCGCAGCUGAGCCCCGCUCGGCUCCACCCCAGGCUCCACCGCCUGCUCUAUCGCUGGCUCCCGAUCCGGCUCCCGUUCCCACUCCCGGCCCGGUGUGCUCAGCUUGCUCGGGGCGUCUCCCUACUGAAGAAUUAUGUUGCAUAAAGCAGCCGCCACCAUCUUGAACUGGCAGUGAACUUUGCUUUCUACAUAUAAAUACAGAUAGCAAUCACACCCCAAUCAGCGCAGAGGCUUCAGGGCAUCAUCUCAGCAACUCUAACUUUCCCAUUACGAUAAUGUGAUUUUCACUCAGUCUAUAAUAUCAACAGCCAUGAAUAAAGCAACUGGCUCUUUCUGUCUCUCUUCCCUCCCCGCUUUCUCUGCCUCUCUCCCACCCACCUCAGUGUUUCUUUUCCACCACACCCUCCUCUUCUGUCUCUCUGCAACCCCUCCUGGUGAUCUCUGAGUCUCUGAGCACCUCCGCCUUCCUCUCCCACUACCUCUUUCUCCCCCUCAUCCUCUGGGACUCACAUUCCCUAAAUACUAAUGGCAGGGAUUUGCUGUGCCCCAUGGCUCAGUUAAGUUCUGCUCCCCAGCUCUGCCAUCAUCUGCCUUUGCCUGAAGGUGAGAAACUGCGGAGUGGGGGUGGGGUGGCCAGCUAGGCUUUCCGGAAGGGUGAGGAAGAGGGAGGCGACUCUGCUCCUUCCCUUCUCUCUCCCUCUUUCCUUAGGUACCAGGAGGGCUCUCUGCUAGGAUUCCCACCAAGAAUGCCAAAGCCAGAGGCUUAGGGACCAAAGGAUCCAGAAGGGAGAUCUGAAAAAUUCCUGCUUAGGGGCGGGUCCUGGAGACUCUGAUUUUUCUGAGUAUUGAGGGACCCAAAUUCAACCAGAUUCCAAAUGCCAGAAGAUUGUGAGUAGAUACAGCUGGUGAGAGGGUGCUCUGGAGACGCCUGCAGAAAAGAGAGGAAACUGGCCCAGCGUCCUAGGGACACUUCUGAGUACGGCUCGGUCCUGAGCCUGACGGCAGUCCAGAUUGGAACUGCCUUUGCCAGGACAUGUGAUAAAGGCCCGCAGAUCCUUGAUCAAGGUGUCAGCCACUUUGUUGGAGCUCCUGGAAAGGGCUUCUCUUUCCUUCAUGGACAUUCUCCAGGAGCUGACAUUCCAAACCAAACCUGCUUCUUCGGGUGAAGCAAGAUAUCAUUCAAGUUGGACAGAUACAGAGCAUUCAGUAAGCAAGUACCGGGGAGAGGGGAAAGAAGAGAGAGAACACAAC
Molecule: non-coding RNA, 1596 nt
Organism: Chlorocebus sabaeus (green monkey)
Lineage: Eukaryota; Metazoa; Chordata; Mammalia; Primates; Cercopithecidae
Source: RefSeq, a predicted model, not a curated record